UGCCACAGCAUGGCUUGAUGAGCAGUGUGUAGGUCCGUGCCCAGGAUCUGUACCCACAAAUCCUGGGCCACUGAAGCAGAGCGUGCAAACUUAACCACAAUACCACCAGGGUCCCCUGGCUUUUUUCGCAUAGCGUUAUGUUCCCAAGGUUCAUCCAUAUUGUAGCACGUGUCAGAACUUCACUUCUUUAUAUGGCCGAAUAACACUCACGUUUUAUUUAUCCCUUUGUCACUUGAUAGACAUUUGGGUUGAUGAUAUUUUGGGCUAUUAUAAUAAUGCAGCUAUGAACAUUCAUGUGUGAGUUUUUGUGUGGCCGUCCAUUUUCAUUUCUCUUGAGUAUAUACCCAGGAGUGGAAUUGCUGGGUCAUAGGGCGACUCCAUUUUAACAUUUUGAGGAAGUGCCAGAGGCACGUUUUAUACUGUGUUUUUCAGCUUUGUAGGAUGGACUGAAAGUAGAGAAAAUACUGUGAGGAGCACCCCGUAGCCAUCAUCCAGGCUCAGCGAUGAUCGCCCUUCUUCUGGGCUUGUUUCACCCCCUCCCCUUCUCCACCGUUGUUACCCACUGAGUAGUUUGAAGCCGCUUCAAACCCUGCCCGUCUUGUUCGCUUGGCUCAGAGGUCAACUUUUGCUUUUGUUCCAAGUCGUCUACACCCAUAUUCUUGGGCAGAUGGAGUUUGGGGAGAAUGGAGGAGUUGGGGCAGAGUCGAGAGUGGGUCAGUGUGGGGUGGGAAAGGAAUAGCUCCUGAGUGAUGCAGGACGGGCUGUGUAAUUUACAAAAUGAAAAUACGGAGCCCUUUGUUCAGAAAUUAUCGAGAAGUGCAAGAUGACGACAGCAGAGCAGUAUACCAAACCUGGGCCCUGUGCACGGCCCAGGUCUCGUGCCCAUGAGGCCCGGCCAAAGGGUGCCCUAGCAGCACGGAUGUGUUGGACACAGGAAUGUAGAGCCGUGGGCAUCUGGGAGAGACAAGGACCCCUUACCCCCAAUCCCUGGAAACGUUCCAAGGAAAGUUUGGGUCUCCCAUGGCACUCGGGACAGGGUUCAAGCCCGUUUCAUUUGAAUCUCUAAAAAUAAGAUGACCCCAGCUGACAUGUGGGUUGUAAGUACUUUUAAAAAAUAGCCACUUGUCUUACUAAGCCUUCUUCCCUAAGAGCCUGCAGUUGUUUUAUUUGGCCACACCAUUUUGUCCUGGGCUCUGAGCGUGCUCGGGUGUCACAGCGAAUGACAGGCUGCGGUCUGCAGAACAGAGGGCUGCUGGUUAGCAACCAACGCGCAGCAGGGAUGCCCAGGAGAGGCAGGUGGCCCUGGCACAUCUUGGCAACCAGUGUGGCACCCAGCCCCUCCCAGACAGAGCUCCACUAGCCUUCUCCAAGGAUGGUCUCCACCAACCAGAGGAACCUUAGUUCCUGCGCUUAUCUAGACUCUCCACCCAAGAAUCCACCCAGAGACUCAGAGCCCACAGUGUGUUGGAAUGGCACCCAAGGAUGUACUUGCACUAACAGAACCUCGUCAUGAAGGGGUGUGCAACUCGACUGGGAAGGACGGGCGGGGACUCAGUGAGGAAGGCACAGACGAGGAUUUGCACUCCCCCCUGUUCUCCGCGGGGUUCUCAAUGAGUGAAGGAAUGUUCAUUCAUUCAUUCCGUUAUUUGAAUGCCUAUGGUACACGACGGGGCUGUAUGCCGGCCAUGAUCAAUACAGUAACCGACGAGACAGACCCAGUUCCUACUCUUAAGGCCGGGAGAGGCAAUCAUAAACCAAACAUGAACAACAAAACAUUUUAAAUUUGAUUAAAAUAAUGUAAUGAUUGCUAAAAACAACCACAGCCACAGGUCUGAGUAAACCUGCUCGCAGCUUCCGGGUUUGUAGACAGCCAGCGUGGAUCUCAAAGCAAAGCCCAAUUUAGGACUGAGGUCGGUCUCAGCAGUGAGCUUAGAAGCAGCAAAGCCAGGAGAAGGCUCCAGAGGAGGUAGGUGGCUCUGCUUUUUCUCUUAUUUUUCUGCCAGCACCUUCUACCCCACUUCCGGUAACAGACCUGACACCCAGUGGGCCUACGGCCAAAGAUGGCCACUCACGGCCUCCAUCCUGCUACAGUAAUUGGUCCAGGUGGGGACACGUGACCCAAUGUGGCCAAUCGCAGCAGCCCACCACUGAGCCGGGCCACAGUGAUUGGUCCAGUGUGGUCACGUGACCCAAGCGUGGCCAAUCCAGGAUGGUCCUUACUACAGCUGGGAAAAGGUUGCCGCUUUCUCCCUCAGCAUCCAGAGCUGCUUGUGACCCCAGAGACCCCAGGCACAAAGGGCGGGGGAGAUGAGAGAUAGGGUGGAGGGAGGGGAGUAGGAGAGAGGUGCGCUGCCCUGUGACCCCACAGCCUUCCAGCCCUGCGUCCAAGAGCAGCCCAGCUUCUCCCUUUCUUCACCGUAGCUCCCCGAGUGAAUUAAAUCCCCAUCUUGCCUCAGUCCGAUCAACUCUGGUUUCUGCGCGGCCCAACACGUCCCAGUUUAGGGCGUGGGACUGUUUCCCUCUUCGUGGAUUGUGUGAAACUAAAAGGGGUAGGUCAGCCUCAGAGCUCAUUCUCCCCGGGCUGUGCCUCCAGCACUUGAGAAUAAAAGCAUCGUCAGACACAUCUCCAUCCCCCCAUUAAUUUCCCACUGAAUCAGAGCUAAACACUUGCUCUUGGACUUCAGGUUCCACCCUAUUCCUGCUUGCCUCCGUCUCCCCAACCUCACCCCGAAAACACCCCCUUCUCCUCUUUGCUGCGCUCUCCACCAUGGGCGGAGCGUGCUGCUUGUCCCGGCCGCUGCUCCGAUGCCCCCCAUGUUAUAUUUGUAAUGAUUUUGUUUGACUGGUUUCCCCCAUGAGUGGGGACCUUGAGCAUGGGGACCCGGGCUUCCCCCAUCUUCGUACCCCCGGGUGCUGGCGCGCAGCAGGGAGACAGCAAGCGUGGGAGGGCGGGAGGCAGGGAAGGAUGGAGGAGGGGAGACAGGGGUGUUCAUUCCUGUUUAUUCUGGUCCAACCAGUGGUCCCUCGGAGGGUCAAGUUUAUAUUCGUUUCCUCUGCUGGAGACUCCCGCGUCAGGUAGACACAGAGCUGUUUCCCUCACUCCUUCAGGCCUCUACUCCAAAGUCACCUUCCCCCGGGAACUGCAUUCUCCCAGUCCCCUUCUCGACCCCUGUCCCUCUUCCAUGCUUUCUUGUCCUCUUUAGCACCCUCCACCACCAUCGCUCCUUCUCUGUGGUCCAUUUCUUUUACUUACUCUCUCUCUCACUGAAAUGUCAGCUCCAGGUGGACAGGCAUCUUUGUUUUCUUCUCUGCUGUCUGUAUCCUCAGCACCUAGAACUGUGCUUGUCACCCGGUAGACGCUCAGUACCUAUCUGUGGAAUGAAUGGAUGAAUGAAUGAAUGCUUUGUGUUCACCAAACCACAGUUCUAGCAAACUUGUUUCUUAAAGAACCUAUGCGCUCCAUGGAUUUUCCAGGUGUUAGGAAAGUCAGGUGACGUGUGAGUUUCCCAGGGCCGCUGUAGCAAAUUACUACACAUUGAGUGGCUUAAAACAACAGGAAUUUAUUAUUUCACAGUUCUGGAGGCUAGAAACCCAAAAUCUGGCGGGGCUGCACUGACCCCAGGGGCUCCGGGGGAAAAUCUGUUCCUUGCCUCUUCCAGCUUCCGGUGGCUCCAUGACUUGUGGGCACAUCACUCCAGUCUCUGCUUCUAUCUUCACACGUUCUUCUUCUCCCUGUGUCUGUCUGUGCUUCUGUCUUAGAAGAAGGCAUGUGAUUGCUUUUACUGCUUAUCCAGAUAACCCAGGACAAACUCCUCUCCAGAUCCCUAACUGGAUCACCUCUUUUGUCAUAUAAGGUCAUAUUCACGGGUUCCAGGAACUGGAAGGUGGGCAUACCUUUCUGUUUUUCACAUCUCUUUUUUCACAUUUCUCUUUCAAUCCAUCCAGCCCUUAGUGGUUAUUUGCAUAAAGACCAGAAAAGCAGAUUCCCACCACUACUGCAUUGGCCUCACAGAUAUUUAACAAAAAGAGUAUUAUUGUUGUAUUAUCUUGCUCGCAUCCGAGUGUGGAAAUGAUUUUUCAAACACCAUUUUAUGUUUUUUAUUUAUCCUGAUUUUUAAAAAUAAUACCGUGCUUAUGGUAAAUAAAAAAUAGUACAGAAGAGAAAAAUGUGGGAAAUAAAGGAGCGCCUUUGCAAUUUUUCUCGAACUCCAAUUUCACUUUCUGAAAAGUAGCUACUGUAUGCGGUUGGCAUAAUCGUCAUAAAUUUUCUAAGCAUUUUCGAGUGCCUGCACUUUCUCUGCUCAUAACGUUAAGAAAAUCGGGUGUGCUCCCAUAUAUCCUGAAGACACGACAGCCCUCAGACCCACCGCCUUCUUUUUAAAGCCUUGUAGCAUGGCACCAUACCCAACCUGUCCCUCACUGGCUGACGUUUCAGGUAACUCGAGGAUUUUGCUGUUAUAACAUAUAUAUUUUUUGGCAUGUGUCCAAGUAGACUUACAGGAUACAUUCCUAGAAGUGGUCUUUCUCAGUGAGAGGAUAGGUGCAUUUUUAAUUUCUACAGCGACUUCCCAGUGUUCUUCCAAAAGGUUGUAUCAUUCACACGCCCAUCAACAGUGUACGUGCUGUUUCCAGCACCCUCGCCCAACCUGGCAAGGACGCGGUGUGUCAGGGGAAGCAAAUCCUAAAUGAGGUAAGUGGACUUUCCCUGUGGCCUGGGUAGGGGUGGACAUGGCCUCCAAGGUUGUCCCUGUGGCUCUCUGAGGUGCUAAGCCGUCCAGAGCUCUCGUUAGUUUGGGUUUUAUAAACAAAGACAGAGUUUGGGGAGGUGAGCCAGAACCGUGCAGCAAGAAGCGUUAUGCAACUCAGUAUUUAUUUCUUUAGUGCAGUUAGAACUUAAAUAUGGUCAAAACAUAUUCUUCUUUUAAUUUACACAAACAAAUAUGUUCCCAGGCUGACACCUCGGGUGCCAAGUUUCUAGGGGAAACGAAAUUCUCCUCUGAGAUUAUAAACCACUAGAGAGAAGAUGGAAAUGGAAAAGCCACCGCGAGUCAGCUUCACACAUCCAGAACUGGGCUGCUAAGAGCUGUCUCUUUCUGUCUUAGCUGCGGAGAAACCUGCCAGUAAUUUCAGCAAAUGAAACGUGGGCCGCAGAAAGGCCAGAGGAUGGAAGAUGCUCCGGUUUUGACAAAAGGAGGUCUGCUCAGCUUGGAAUCCUCUCUCCUGUGAGUCAGGAGAUGGAAAGCUAUAUCCAGAGGGGCUGAUGAAUUGAGAGAAAAAGAAACGAGGCCAGUCCCCUGACUCAGCAGUGACACAUGAAUGAUGCUCCAUAAGUAGUCAUCCCAUGGACCAACCAAUGCCACCGUCACCUCCGACCCGGCCUCCAGCCGAAAUCACAGAAACCCUUUAUAGCCACCCUGACACCCAGUUCCCAUUUCAGACAGGCUGGUAUCCAUGAUGUCACGUGAUAGAAGAUGAUUCCAGAAAAAGACUGGUCAAGAGGCUCCUGGAGGGAGAGAUGGCAGCCAGGAUUGAGAGAGUUCGUCCAGAUUUCUCGUUGCUAAGCUGUAAAGUUCCGGGCUUCGCAGCGCCCAUGCUGAUUGGCAGGGAGGCCCGGUCAGCUCCAAUCAGAAGCAGGUCGCCGAAAGGAGCAUCCACAACGCAGCUCGCCCCGGGGUUUUGGAAUUUUCUCGCUGACGUUAUGAACCGCAGAGGUCUUUGUCUAACUCUGCAAAACCUGUUCUCUUGAUCUUGUCUGCCUCUCUCUGGAGCGCAGGCUGUUGGGGGACGCCAGAGGUCCUGGAAUUUCCCCCGGAAGGAUGGGGAGUCCCUGGCUCACCGGUUUGGGCUCAGCGACAGAGAUGCCAGGGCCUGCUCGUGGUGGACCAUAGCCAACAGCGUGACGCUCUGCCACAGGCCGGUGAGAUGCCUCAGGCCCCCCAAAACUGACCUCUCCUCUCCCAGGCCAUCUUCUAAGCUUGGUGACUGGAGGAGGCUGAGGCAAAGGGGAUGCCACUGAAAGUGGGAUGGUUGGGGUGGAGACCACGUUUGUAAAGGACGUUAAAACACACAUGGAUGGUAGGGGCACGGUGGAGGGCCAUUCUGUGUUCCACCUCUAGAACCCCAAUGCAAAGAACCACUAUGAACUGAAACUUAUUUUUUAGACCACUCUAUUGAGGUACGACUGACUUACAAAAAGCUGUAUGUAUUUAGUGUCUACUACUUGAUGAGUUUGACAAUGAGUAGACACCCAGGAAACCAUCACCACGAUCUAUGCCAUAAACAUAGCCAUCACCUCCAGGAGUUUUCACCUGCCAUCUUUAUGAUUUUUAUUUUUGAUGAUAAGAACAUUUCACAUAAGAUCUACCCUUUUAACCAAAUGAGUAUAUGAUGCAGUGUUGUUAAUUAUCAUCACCAUGCUGAGUGUUAGAUCUCCAGCACUUAUUCAUCGGGUAUAAUUGAAACUUUGCACCCCUUGACCAAUAUCUCUGCCUUUCUCCCUCCUCCCAGCCCCUGGCAGUCCCCAUUCUACUCUCUGCUUCUACGAGUGUGACUAGUUUAGAUUCCUCAUAUAAAUGGACUCAUGUAGUAUUUGUCCUUCUGUGACUGGCUUAUUUCACUUAGCAUCAUGUCCUCCAGCUUCAGCCAUGUGUCCACGGAUGACACGAUUUCCUUCUUUUCUAAGACUGAGUAGUAUUUCAUUGUGUGUAUAAACCACAUUUUCUUUAUCCAUUCAUCCACCGAUGGACACUUAGGUUGCUACCAUGUCUUGGCUAUUGUGCCAGAAAUUGUACACACACAUCUGCUCCCAUCUCAAAACACCCAUUGGACAGACUGAGAAUGUGAUGGGCGUCUGCUGGUUUUGCUGCUGCUGCUUCCCUCUUUCACUAACGGAGAAGGCCUGCCACAGGGCAAGUCAUGUGACCCAGGCCUGGUCACAGUGAUUGGCUCUGGGGUGGGCACAUGAACAAGCUGGGCCAAUCAGAAUCUUCCUUGAGACUUUACUACCAGAACUAUAGGAAAAGUCUCCCUUCCUGCCCCUGGAUUUGCUGAGCUGGCGACCACAAUGAACACACGUGGAAGGUGACUGAGGGAGAUAUGAAGUCCCUGCAACAAGGCUUGAGCCCCAGGUGCAGCCCAGCCUUAGGGGAAGUCAGAUCCACUCCCUGGAUUUUAGUUACAGGAACAUGGAAGAUGAGAGGCCUCAUGAAGGAGCACUGAGGCCACCCAGCCAACAGCCAGCUGCCACACAUAUGAGGAAAGCCAUCUGGACCUUCCAGCUGAGUGCGCCCAGGCAUGACCAGCAGAGGAAGCACUCAGCUAACCUAUGAAGUCAUGGAAAAUAAUAAAUUGUUGUUUUAAGCCACUAUGUUGUGGGUUUUGUUUUUUUUUUGUCACACAGCAAAGGCUAACUGAGACAUGUUACAAGAGGCCAAGCCAGAUUCUAAGCCAGGUCUCCUAUUUCUAGACUCUGAGCCUGUCACAGCCAGAGACUG
Non-coding RNA from Equus caballus (horse), 7493 nucleotides. NCBI's taxonomy places the organism in Eukaryota, Metazoa, Chordata, Mammalia, Perissodactyla, Equidae. The record is from RefSeq and is a predicted model, not a curated record.